GCCCGCGUGGCACAAUUGGUCAGCGCGUGAGACUUUUAAUCUCAAGGUUGAGAGUUCGAGCCUCUCCGCGGGCG
This 74-nucleotide transfer RNA is filed under the name Exophiala mesophila. RNAcentral's name for it is "tRNA-Lys (TTT) (tRNA-Lys-TTT-1-1)". It matches the Rfam family "tRNA". Rfam says of the family: Transfer RNA (tRNA) molecules are approximately 80 nucleotides in length. Their secondary structure includes four short double-helical elements and three loops (D, anti-codon, and T loops). Lineage: Eukaryota; Fungi; Ascomycota; Eurotiomycetes; Chaetothyriales; Herpotrichiellaceae. The record is from RNAcentral. RNAcentral also lists the same sequence under 2 other names.